UACGAGGGGGGCAAGCGUUACUCGGAAUUACUGGGCGUAAAGCGUGCGUAGGUGGUGAGUUAAGUCUGUCGUGAAAGCCCCGGGCUCAACCUGGGAAUGGCGAUGGAUACUGGCUCGCUAGAGUGCGGUAGAGGAGAGUGGAAUUCCCGGUGUAGCAGUGAAAUGCGUAGAGAUCGGGAGGAACAUCAGUUGCGAAGGCGGCUCUCUGGACCAGCACUGACACUGAGGCACGAAAGCGUGGGGAGCAAACAGGA
This 254-nucleotide ribosomal RNA is filed under the name uncultured bacterium. RNAcentral describes it as "partial 16S ribosomal RNA". It matches the Rfam family "Bacterial small subunit ribosomal RNA", at positions 524 to 777 of the family's 1533-position model. The record is from RNAcentral.